UGUAUUCUAUUUUAUUUCUUUAUUUUUAAAUAUAAAUUUGCUGUUAGUGUGAUUCGAACACACACAGUAAGGGAAAUAAGCCGAAUCUCAGCAGCAUCCAGACAGCAGCAAUUUCGUUUGUCGCUUCUAUCGAUUGCGCCAAUGAACCCUAAACGUACAUCGCUGACGUGUAAUCGAGCACAUGACCUCUGUGAAAGUGAUUAUAGAGCGCGUAGUUAUCAGUUUCCUGGUAACGAGUAAACCUGUUUAGGGACAAAGUAUACUUAAAAUAAAUGAACUCUCCCUUGCUAUUUUACGAAGAAACGCAUACAAAAUAAUAUUAUAAAAAUAACACAAAAAAAGCAGGAAAGACAAAUAAAUAAAUAAAUAAAGCAGAGCAAUGCUACCGACGAGAAGAAAUUAUAGAAAAGAAAAGCUAUAGAUACACACACAACAUUAUCACUAGCUAAAUAACUAAUUAUAAUUUACGAAAUUAACUGAACUCUGUCACCAAGCUGCCUUUGAAAUAUAUAUAUAUAUAUAUAUAUAUAUAUAUAUAUAUAUAUACACAUUUAUAUUCUGUAUUAUUUUACCCAUCAACCUGAUUAUUAUUUUUUUUCUUCUGUCAUACGCGCCGCCCAUCCUGCCUUGGUUGAUAUCCACUAUCACUAUCACCCUUUCUCCCAGUCUAUAUAUAUAUAGCAAAGAGGAAUUGCCUUCCUUUCAGUCUCUGUUUUUCAAUCUGUUUAAACUGGUCACUUGGAGUCAAGGACGCUUUAUCGCGCUACUUCCACACUGACGUUCAAAUUACUUAAGUGCGUAAUUUAAGCAACUUAUCAACAAACAAACAAAUUGAUUGAUCAACAACAAAUAAUAAUAAGAAAAAAGACGAUACCGGUGAAACUACCACAGAUCGAUUUUUGUAAAUCAGUUAAAUUUUGCUUUUCAUUCUUGCGAGUGUCACAAUCUCAUCGAGUGUACAUUUAAACAGUUUUUGGAAAAGAAAGUAAUAAUGAUGGCCAACUCUACGCGUGGUUUUUUUGUACUCCCCGUUCUCUUCAGUUUUUUGCUCUUCGGAGCCUUUUUCAUGUUUGCAGAUGUAGCUGCUGCAUCAAACACUACGACUGUGGCGCCAAAAACUACAGCUGCAGCACCAAACACUACGACCACGGCACCAAA
Long non-coding RNA from Octopus bimaculoides (California two-spot octopus), 1158 nucleotides. The record is from RefSeq and is a predicted model, not a curated record. Lineage: Eukaryota; Metazoa; Mollusca; Cephalopoda; Octopoda; Octopodidae.